RNAcentral lists this ribosomal RNA (468 nucleotides) under uncultured bacterium. RNAcentral describes it as "partial 16S ribosomal RNA". It matches the Rfam family "Bacterial small subunit ribosomal RNA", at positions 28 to 507 of the family's 1533-position model. The record is from RNAcentral.
GACGAACGCUGGCGGUGUGCUUAACACAUGCAAGUCGAACGGUAAGGCCCUUUCGGGGGUACACGAGUGGCGAACGGGUGAGUAACACGUGAGUAACCUGCCCUCAUCUCUGGGAUAACAGUCGGAAACGGUUGCUAAUACUGGAUAUGAGCUUGCAAGGCAUCUUGUGGGUUGGAAAGAUUUUUUUUGGUUGGGGAUGGACUCGCGGCCUAUCAGCUUGUUGGUGAGGUAGUGGCUCACCAAGGCUUCGACGGGUAGCCGGCCUGAGAGGGCGACCGGCCACAUUGGGACUGAGAUACGGCCCAAACUCCUACGGGAGGCAGCAGUGGGGAAUAUUGCACAAUGGACGGAAGUCUGAUGCAGCAACGCCGCGUGCGGGAUGACGGCCUUCGGGUUGUAAACCGCUUUCGAUUGUGACGAAGCUUUUUUGUGACGGUAGCAGUAGAAGAAGCACCGGCUAACUACGUG